CGGACGGGUGAGUAACGCGUGAGAACCUACCUUUUGGCGAGGGACAACCACUGGAAACGGUGGCUAAUACCUCAUAUUGCUGAGAAGUGAAAGAUGAAUAAUCGCCAAAAGAUGGUCUUGCGUCUGAUUAGCUAGUUGGUGAGGUAACGGCUCACCAAGGCGACGAUCAGUAGCUGGUCUAAGAGGAUGAUCAGCCACACUGGGACUGAGACACGGCCCAGACUCCUACGGGAGGCAGCAGUGGGGAAUUUUCCGCAAUGGGCGAAAGCCUGACGGAGCAACGCCGCGUGAGGGAGGAAGGCCUUAGGGUUGUAAACCUCUUUUCUCUGGGAAGAAGAACUGACGGUACCAGAGGAAUAAGCCUCGGCUAACUCCG
RNAcentral lists this ribosomal RNA (376 nucleotides) under uncultured Leptolyngbya sp. RNAcentral describes it as "bacterial SSU rRNA". It matches the Rfam family "Bacterial small subunit ribosomal RNA", at positions 99 to 505 of the family's 1533-position model. The record is from RNAcentral. Lineage: Bacteria; Bacillati; Cyanobacteriota; Cyanophyceae; Leptolyngbyales; Leptolyngbyaceae.